Molecule: transfer RNA, 136 nt
Filed under: Alectoria sarmentosa
Lineage: Eukaryota; Fungi; Ascomycota; Lecanoromycetes; Lecanorales; Parmeliaceae
Description: tRNA-Ser
Rfam family: tRNA
About the family: Transfer RNA (tRNA) molecules are approximately 80 nucleotides in length. Their secondary structure includes four short double-helical elements and three loops (D, anti-codon, and T loops).
Source: RNAcentral
GACACUUUGGCCGAGUGGUUAAGGCGACAGACUCGAAUUUACUUUGCUUUGUCGUUUUUCACAAUUUGACAAGGGAUUUUCAAUGAUUUGAUAUCUGUUUCAUUCGUGAGCGCAGGUUCAAAUCCUGCAGGUGUCG